AGCCCGCCUAGUCCUCCUUGGGCCUCUCCACAGUAAGAAUCGUGUCCACAAUGGCAGGCUGCCGCUCAGGAUCGCCAAAGGGCUGCUUCUCACGGUUCUGCUCUGCCCUGGUGCGCGUCCAGGAGGGAGCCCUGGUGCUGGUAUUGGGACGCCGAACUCCUCCUCAGCCACGGGAGACUGGCUACCGGUCCCUGUGACAGGGACGGGGGUGCUGAGAGCAGCCUGUGGCACGUCGACCUCCUUAACUAAGCCUGCAACAGAGAGGGCGUUACCCGGGAGGGGCUGGGGUCUUCCACCCCCACUGCCAGGACGCAGGCUGGGAGGACCUGAGAACCUGGCCCAUGGGGCUAGCCCUCAAGGCUCAGGUAGUGACGGGGGUGGUCCUGGGUCAGGAAGGCGGACAGGGCGCCGGGGGCUUCUCUUGAGGAAGCUGACUUUCCCCGGCUCCUCAUUCUCUAGUUUCCAGACCCUCUGCCCUCCUUACUCGAACGGGAAUCACUGCUGGUCUUGUGGGGACCCUUGCAGGUUCUGUCAGAGCCCACAAGACCCCAGUACUGUCACCUGUCUACUUUUGGUCCCACUAGGGUUUACUAAUAAAGAAGACCAUCUUGCAGCUGAAGAAGCUCUAUACAGUCAGCAAAAAUUAGACCGGGAUCUGACUGUCGCUCAGAUCAUGAACUUAUUCCAAGAGCCUGGAGAGUCCUUUGGACUGCAAGGAGAUCAAACCAGUCAAUCCUCAAGGAAAUCAGUCCUGAAUAUUCAUUAGAAGGACUGAUGCUGAAGCUCCAAUACUCUGGCCACCUGAUGGGAAGAACGGACUCAUUUGAAAAGAUCCUGACACUGGGAAAGAUUGAAGGUGGGAGGAGAAGGGGAUGACAGAGGAUGGGAUGGUUGGAUGGCAUCACUGACUCGAUGCACAUGAGUUUGAGCAAGCUCUGGGAGUUGGUGAUGGACAGGGAAGCCUGGUGUACUGCAAUCCAUGGGGUCAUAAAAAGUUGGACACAACUGAGCAACUGGACUGAACUGAGGGACUAGUGGACGGUCAUACAUUUGCUUUAAUCCAG
This is a long non-coding RNA of Dama dama (fallow deer), 1064 nucleotides long. RefSeq lists it as uncharacterized. The transcript is spliced from 2 exons. The record is from RefSeq and is a predicted model, not a curated record. NCBI's taxonomy places the organism in Eukaryota, Metazoa, Chordata, Mammalia, Artiodactyla, Cervidae.